This 253-nucleotide ribosomal RNA is filed under the name uncultured bacterium. Its description in RNAcentral is "partial 16S ribosomal RNA". It matches the Rfam family "Bacterial small subunit ribosomal RNA", at positions 524 to 776 of the family's 1533-position model. The record is from RNAcentral.
UACGUAUGGUGCAAGCGUUAUCCGGAAUGACUGGGUGUAAAGGGAGCGUAGACGGUUGUUCAAGUCUGAUGUGAAAGCCCCCGGCUUAACUGGGGGAGUGCAUUGGAAACUGAAGGACUAGAGUAUCGGAGAGGCAAGUGGAAUUCCUAGUGUAGCGGUGAAAUGCGUAGAUAUUAGGAGGAACACCAGUGGCGAAGGCGGCUUGCUGGACGAAAACUGACGUUGAGGCUCGAAAGCGUGGGGAGCAAACAGG